AAUGGGCGCAAGCCUGAUCCAGCAAUGCCGCGUGGGUGAAGACGGCCUGCGGGUUGUAAAGCCCUUUAGGUGGGGAAGAACGAUGCCGGGUGAAUAGCCGGGUGUUAUGACAUUACCCACGGAAUAAGCACCGGCUAACUCCGUGCCAGCAGCCGCGGUAAUACGGAGGGUGCGAGCGUUAAUCGGAAUGACUGGGCGUAAAGCGUGCGUAGGUGGUGGUGUUAGUCAGCCGUGAAAGCCCUGGGCUUAACCUGGGAAUGGCGGUUGAAACGGCGCGACUUGAGUGGGUUAGAGGACUGUGGAACUCCUGGUGUAGCGGUGAAAUGCGUAGAGAUCAGGAAGAACACCGAUGGCGAAGGCAGCGGUCUGGGACCACACUGACACUGAGGCACGAAAGCGUGGGGAGCAAA
Molecule: ribosomal RNA, 410 nt
Filed under: uncultured bacterium
Lineage: Bacteria
Description: bacterial SSU rRNA
Rfam family: Bacterial small subunit ribosomal RNA
Source: RNAcentral